Molecule: transfer-messenger RNA, 353 nt
Filed under: Chloroflexota bacterium
Lineage: Bacteria; Bacillati; Chloroflexota
Rfam family: transfer-messenger RNA
About the family: Bacterial tmRNA, also known as 10Sa RNA or SsrA, is named for its dual tRNA and mRNA-like properties. Its role is to liberate the mRNA from a stalled ribosome.
Source: RNAcentral
GGGGAUGCCGGGUUUCGACAGGGACCGGAAGCCCGUUCUUGCAGGCCGAGGACGUCACCUAACUCGUUAAAGCGGUGGCAACAAUUAAACGGCAACGAAGAGUUAGCCCUCGCCGCCUAAUUAGGUAGCGACGUUUCGCACCAGACUUCCUCGGCGUCAGGUACGAAGCGAUAUUUUGCCGGGGUGCUCCGGCCUUGACGCCCGUACGGGGCCGGCUAAGACUCUUCGGGCUAGUCGAUCGAGAGUUUGUCCGCUGACACCUCGAACGGUAAAACUGACAGCGGACUAAGCCUGUAGGUGGGACGGGGUGAUAUUUCCUGGACGGGGCGUUCGACUCGCCCCCAUCUCCACCA